RNAcentral lists this ribosomal RNA (859 nucleotides) under uncultured bacterium. Its description in RNAcentral is "bacterial SSU rRNA". It matches the Rfam family "Bacterial small subunit ribosomal RNA", at positions 26 to 896 of the family's 1533-position model. The record is from RNAcentral.
AGAGUGAACGCUGGCGGCGUGCUUAACACAUGCAAGUCGAACGAGAACGGAUUUUAGCUUGCUAAAAUUGUCAGCUAAGUGGCGCACGGGUGAGUAAUAUAUAGGUAACGUGCCCUAGAGAAGAGGAUAACAUUUGGAAACGAAUGCUAAUACUCUAUAUGCCUUUAAGACUUAAGUCUGCAAGGGAAAUAUUUAUAGCUCUAGGAUCGGCCUGUACGGUAUCAGCUUGUUGGUGAGGUAAUGGCUCACCAAGGCAAUGACACCUAACUGGUUUGAGAGGAUGAUCAGUCACACUGGAACUGAGACACGGUCCAGACUCCUACGGGAGGCAGCAGUGGGGAAUAUUGCACAAUGGACGAAAGUCUGAUGCAGCAACGCCGCGUGGAGGAUGACACAUUUCGGUGCGUAAACUCCUUUUAUAUAGGAAGAUAAUGACGGUACUAUAUGAAUAAGCGCCGGCUAACUCCGUGCCAGCAGCCGCGGUAAUACGGAGGGCGCAAGCGUUACUCGGAAUCACUGGGCGUAAAGAGCGUGUAGGCGGGUUAAUGAGUCAGAAGUGAAAUCCAAUAGCUCAACUAUUGAACUGCUUUUGAAACUGUUAACCUAGAAUAUGGGAGAGGUAGAUGGAAUUUCUGGUGUAGGGGUAAAAUCCGUAGAGAUCAGAAGGAAUACCGAUUGCGAAGGCGAUCUACUGGAACAUUAUUGACGCUGAGACGCGAAAGCGUGGGGAGCAAACAGGAUUAGAUACCCUGGUAGUCCACGCCCUAAACGAUGCACACUAGUUGUUGCCAUGCUAGACAUGGCAGUAAUGCAGUUAACACAUUAAGUGUGCCGCCUGGGGAGUACGGUCGCAAGAUUA